This 502-nucleotide long non-coding RNA is filed under the name Salvia miltiorrhiza (redroot sage). RNAcentral's name for it is "long non-coding RNA (SMIL_LNC010254)". Lineage: Eukaryota; Viridiplantae; Streptophyta; Magnoliopsida; Lamiales; Lamiaceae. The record is from RNAcentral.
UGAAUUUAGUUAAGUGGUAUGAAUUUUGUGAGCGAAUUAUAUUGGUUAUUAUACGAAUUUUAUGUGAUCAUUUGCAGAUUGGGUGCGUCAACGAUGUGAACAUGGCUGAAGAAGUAUAUACGAGGACUGGUGUGAAGACAAACAUAACAAAUUUUGGGAAAGAGAAUCCGAUAUUUGAAAAUAUCAAUAACGUGGUAAAACAACUCCGUCGUGGUAGAAUUUGAGAUUAUUCGAUAUGGUUGUAAUACAUGAUAUCUUAAUCAGGACUUGGGUGUGUGCAUUGGGGCAAAAACAGGAAGGCGUACAAUAUUGAAGCCCCUGGUAGAAAAUGUAUGCAUGGCUAUUCAAAAUAUUUUGUGUGGUACUGUUGAUGGAAUGUUUAAGAUAAUAUUUUGUUUCUAUAAUUACAUGUGAAUUUUGAAUGAUAAACUAAGAAUUGUUGGGUAUAUUGAUGCACAUUUAGGUGGUUUCAUUCGAAACGCCUAUAUUGGCAAAUAGAUGC